UGUAAGCGUAUACCAAAGUUGUUGCAGUUAAAACGCUCGUAGUCGGAAUUUGGCAGUUCCGGAUGUGUGCACGUCGUGUGCGCACUUCGCGGGGAUUGCUUUUGUGGUCUUGCGUAGGAUGAGGCACUUUUAUUAGUGAACGUCCUCACGCAACCACUUUUUACUGUGAGAAAAUCAGAGUGCUCAAAGCAGGCAUUUGCCGUGAAUGUAUUAGCAUGGAAUAAUAGAAUAGGACUUGGUUCUAUUUUGUUGGUUUGUUGGGACUGAGUAAUGAUUAAGAGGGACAGUUGGGGGCAUUUGUAUGUCGGUGCUAGAGGUGAAAUUCUUAGAUUACCGAAAGACAAACUGCUGCGAAAGCGUCUGCCAAGGAUGUUUUCAUUGA
RNAcentral lists this ribosomal RNA (382 nucleotides) under uncultured eukaryote. RNAcentral's name for it is "partial 18S ribosomal RNA". It matches the Rfam family "Eukaryotic small subunit ribosomal RNA", at positions 592 to 976 of the family's 1831-position model. The record is from RNAcentral.